CAUACCCCAGGUCAGGCGUGGCUACCCGCCGAGUUUAAGCAUAUCAAUAAGCGG
RNAcentral lists this ribosomal RNA (54 nucleotides) under Eleocharis interstincta. RNAcentral's name for it is "partial 28S ribosomal RNA". Lineage: Eukaryota; Viridiplantae; Streptophyta; Magnoliopsida; Poales; Cyperaceae. The record is from RNAcentral.